This is a long non-coding RNA of Neopsephotus bourkii (Bourke's parrot), 1073 nucleotides long. RefSeq lists it as uncharacterized. NCBI's taxonomy places the organism in Eukaryota, Metazoa, Chordata, Aves, Psittaciformes, Psittacidae. The record is from RefSeq and is a predicted model, not a curated record. The transcript is spliced from 3 exons.
AAAGCACCCAUGCUGUGGGCAGAACUGCAGGGCCUUGAUUAAAUCGGGCAAAAAAGAUGCUUGAGAGAUAGCAAAUGUAAGCAAAAGUGGUUGCCAGGCCAGAGUUGCCUGUGAAUAAUUACCUCGAGGGAAGAGACCGUGGAGGUUGGUACCAGCCUUGUCCUGCUGUGCCAGGAGGGCUAUGGCGCCUGUUCCUUCUGCACUGCUCUGGAGAAAAUGCCCUUCAAUCCAUGUGCCAGAUCCCUUUGAGAGGGAGAUGCGCUCGCCAUGUGCUGGAGGAGCUGGAUGAAGAGGAAAAGACCUGGAAAAAAGCCAGAAGACAAAGAACUUUGGGGAAUUGUGUGCAGGGGUUUUGUGGCUGCUUGUGGAGGAGUCGAGCACCUGUAAUGUGUUUGGGUAGACCUCAAGGAGCACACCAUCAGUGGAUUCCCUUUUCCUUGCUAAGUUCCUCUGAACAGGAACCCUUAUUCUUAAGGGUAAGAUUAUGUAUUCUGGAUUAGUUUUGCAAAGCACUGAAGUUUCAAGCUUGAUUUAUGGGUAUAAAUGGUCCUUUUGAACAUGUUCCUUUGUGCUUUGACCCGAUGUGAACUCUUUACUGGGUCUUCAUGGAUCAAACCAUGAGUGACUUUUGCUGUCACUGGAAAGGUGGGCUGUUGUUUUGGCUAAAGAAUACCAGAGUUUGAACAGUGCAGAACCCUUAUGAUUUGACACAGAUGCAUGCUCAUCCUAACAAAUACACUCCCUUUACCAUUAAGUAAGCUCCCACUGUCAAGCCUUGGCGAUCUUAAGCUGUGAGCUGUACCUUCCCCUGAAUUAAAUCCCACCCCUAUAUUCUGACUGUAACAAAGUAGCUCUGCCCAGAUUCCUUAUUUUGUCCCUUUGCUUUUGCUUUGUCAUUUGGAGCCCUUGUGUUGCAUGCAAGUCCCCUUGUGCAGCUGAAAGGCAGCUACACCUUGAUGAAGUGGAAGGUGAGAUUGGCGAGUCAUUGCAUGAAGAGAAGGAAAUAACCUGAAAACCACAAAACAUCAGAAGAACUGGAUCAGGAGCUGUCUUUCAAGGGUUUGAUUAAACCG